GUUGGCACUAUGAUAAAUACAUGGUACUUUAUGGGUUCCGGUGAGGAUGAGUUGCGAGUAAAUUUUAUAAUUAAAUAUUGUGGUGUUUCUCAAAAAUUUGGCAUGAUAUAUAAUAGAUAAAGCUAAAUUUAAAGUCACUUUUACACCAGUAUUGAAGAAUGGAUAAUAAACUUAGGUUUGAUUCUGUAAUUAGUGUGGAAGGCCUGGUAAAGCUUGUGCCAGCAACCGCGGUUAGACAAGCGUGGUCAAGGUAAGAUAUGGCGGUAAUAAAGAGGGUUAGGGGUAGAAAAAGUUAUGAUAAAUAAAGAGAUAAAUGCUUACUGUUGGGGUGUAAUCUUUGCAGGUGUAUUAAAUCCGUAGCUAUUUAAUUCUUUAGUCCCUGAAACUUAGGUUAAAGACCGGGAUUAGAUACCCCGUUAUUCUAAGCGUAAAAAUUUAGUUUCACUAUMCCGUUAUUCUAAGCGUAAAAAUUUAGUUUCACUAUACCGGAGUACUACGAGCUUAGGCUUAAUGCAUAAUUUAGUGAAAAGUGAGUUUGACUUACUAUUGUAGGUAGGCUUAAUUUAAUGUUAUGUGUUGGGACUGUAAUGCUUAAAACUUAAAAAACUUGGCGGUGCCUCAAAUCUUUCUAGGGGAACCUGUCCCGUAAUCGAUGAUCCGCGUGUUACCUUACUUUGUUUUGAAAAUUAUAACAGCCUGUAUACCGUCGUCGUCAGGCUACUCUUAAGGGUUAUUUGGUUUAGUAGGCUAAUGGAGAAUUAUAAAGAAUAUUAAUGGUUCUGAAAGUCAGAUCAAGGUGCAGCUAAUGGCAAAGUGGAGAUGUGUUACAAUGGUGAUUUACUGUGCGGAUAGAUUUUUUAAAAGAAAUCUUGAAGUUGGACUUAGGAGUAAUUUUUAGGAGUAGUGAGCUAAGGUGAAUGAAGCUCUGAGGUGUGUACAAAUCGCCCGUCGCUCUCGCUGAGAAGUGAGAUAAGUCGUAACAUAGUGGGGGUACCGGAAGGUGCCCCGG
Molecule: ribosomal RNA, 1009 nt
Filed under: Calliotropis micraulax
Lineage: Eukaryota; Metazoa; Mollusca; Gastropoda; Seguenziida; Calliotropidae
Description: 12S ribosomal RNA
Rfam family: Bacterial small subunit ribosomal RNA
Source: RNAcentral